Molecule: unclassified non-coding RNA, 772 nt
Filed under: Hevea brasiliensis (rubber tree)
Lineage: Eukaryota; Viridiplantae; Streptophyta; Magnoliopsida; Malpighiales; Euphorbiaceae
Source: RNAcentral
GUACAUCAAAAUGCCGCGUUCGGCUUGAAGUUGCUGUGACGACUUGCUAAGCCACUGUGCUAGUCUUUCCUGUGUCUGGCUCUAGCUCGUUUUUGAAGCUUGGAGGAUCGGAGAAGAAAUGCAGUGGUACAUAGUUGCUUCUCUCCUCACCAUUUUCACUAGUUCUCAGGUAAAACAAAACAAGUUUAAUCGGAUACCAAACCUUACUUCUUCCCUUAUUUCACCAAUUCCGACUGUUGUCCCUAUCGAAACCCUAACCCUAAAGCACUCCAAUUUCUACUAUAUAUUUUUUUUUAUUCAAGAAAUAAUCGAAUGAUCUGUCAGAAUUUCCUCUAUAAUGUGUUUGCAGCUUCCAAUUUUAGGAGCUAAUAUUAUUUAAUUUAUUUAUUUAUACCUUUUCAGGGUAUCAUAACUACACUAUCUCAAAGUAAUGGGAAAUAUGAGUAUGAUUACACCACUGUUCCUUUUCUUGCUGAAGUGUUUAAGGUACUUCACAUUGCUAUUUCAAAUUUGGGUAGCCUUAAGUGGCCGAAUUGUCUUGACCAGUUGAUGAUCUUAGUAAGUAUUAAUCUGCAGCUUCUAGUUUCUAGUUGUCUUUUAUGGAGAGAGUGCCAGAAAUCACCUCUUCCCAAGAUGACUACGGAUUGGAAGAGCAUUCGGUUGUUUCCUAUUCCUUCCAUCAUUUACUUGAUCCACAACAAUGUUCAAUUUGCAACUUUGAUUUAUGUAGAUACAUCCACCUACCAGAUAAUGGGCAAUCUUAAGAUUGUUA